This is a long non-coding RNA of Xenopus tropicalis (tropical clawed frog), 3737 nucleotides long. RefSeq lists it as uncharacterized. The record is from RefSeq and is a predicted model, not a curated record. The transcript is spliced from 3 exons. NCBI's taxonomy places the organism in Eukaryota, Metazoa, Chordata, Amphibia, Anura, Pipidae.
UAACCAGGAAUAUUCAUGUACAUGUGUAUAUAAGAAUAAAUAUACAUAUUUACAUAAAUAUAUCCUUGGGCAACACGGAGGACAUUCAAAACUUGCUAAAUAUUUACCAAACACAGAACGUUAAACAGCUAUUAAAUGCAGAAUUGCAACGCUAUUUUCUUUCACUCAUCUGACCAAACAUAUAACAAGGACUGUAUGUAAACCCUGUGACCCAGGCAGGGGCUAAAGAAGGCACCUUUUUAUUUCUCAUUUUUAAUUUUUGUUUUUUGAUAGUUCCUUACUUUUCUUUUUCAUUCAUGUGCUGAGCAAAAUCUUUUCAGCAGGCAUGGAUUUGCAGCGAAAUUUUGCCACUGGCAAUUUUGUUUGCAAAACUGUCGCAAAAAGUCGUACCCAUGUCAAAAAAGUUGCACAGUAGCUGCAUUUCGUGAAUUUUUUUGCUGUUUCGGGACAGAUUCGCUCAUCACUAAUGUUUUCUGAUUUACAGCAAUAUUUCAUCCAGCAAAGGUUACUUACUGUACCUUAUUUAACUAGAUGCUGCUUUUCAAUCUAAAAUCGUUCCAUGCAACUCAGUAGGUCAGGUGCCCAAGAGAGAAGGAACCUGACUUACAUGUAAUUUCCCCCCUUCCCUCCCUGAGCCCCCCUGACCCUUCCUUCCCUGACCCUUCCCUCCCUGACCCUUCCCUCCCUGACCCCCCUGACCCUUUCCUCUCCUCUUCCUCUCAAUAGGAGACAAAAAUUCUUAGCAAACACUUGUUUCUUUAAUGAUGUUACUUUAUACAAUUCCUUGUAAUACUAUAUUUAUGCUCUCUGUGAGUCCUAAAGAGAGUGACAUCUAUUUAAUUGGAUCGACUCAUGCUGAAUAUAAAUCUUUACAAACAUCCUACUGGAAUAAACAAUAAGUACAUUUUUUUUCUCCUUUGCAUCUCCAUUUCAAGUUUGUAUUUGCCUCUGUUUCAAAUGUCUGAUUUAGAACAUGCAUUCUUCUGAGUCAUGGACAAGAUAUAAAAUAAUAUUUGUAUCUGUGUGUUCAAUACUUUUUAAAUAACAUUUUGUAAUGCAAUUUUUGUUUCUGAAUUUACCAGUAAAAUGUUUCAUGUAUUUAUAUUUUUAUUUUGUUUUUCUCAUUUGAAGAUACUAUAUCUUCAAUUUCAGAAAUAAUCCCUAAUGUCUACCUAUGGAGCUGAAGCACAAAGAGAUUAAUACAAUUAUACAAAUAAAGUUAUAAUAAUUAAGCACAGCAACAUAGCAAUUUACAAAUGUUUGCAUUAAAAUAACAUAUAACUGUCUAACUGUUCUUCCCUGAAUCUAUAGCCUUUUUAGGAUACAAAGUGGCAACUCCCAGGUGUAUAACCGUACAUUUAUCAACACUGAAUCUUAUCUGCCACUUAGCUACCCAGAUUCAAGUUUGUCAAGAUCCUGCUGCAAGGAUGCCAUAUCCUGAAUGGAAUUAAUUGGCCUAAUUAGUUUUGUACAAUAAACACAGAUGCACUUUUUAUAAAGCAUGUCCUCUAGUCAUUAUUAAAAAAAAUAUAUAUGUGAGUCCAAUACAGAAUCCCACAGCAACCACUAGGGGCCAUACUCUAAAUAGAGAACUUACCAUUGACAACCACCAAAUGCUUAAAUGCUGCAUUCCGAUUAUCUUCUACUACUAUACUACUAUUGUGACUGUUUUAGCUUACAGAUAAGCAGAAGUUUAUUAUGUACUUAAAAAAAAAUAAUAAUAGGAAACAGUUUGUUAAGCACAAGUCCUAUUCAGUGAACUAAUCUUGAACACAGGGGUAUACUGCCCCUUUAAGCACUUGUACCAUGGGGAAAGGUAAAAUGAUUCAACCUUGGAAUUACCAGCAGAAUGACUGUAUUGCGCCAAUCAUAAACAUUUAAUUUAGACAGUCAAUUUAAAAAAUCUCUGAUGUUAUUUUUAAGUAUUGAAUAGUGUGUACUAAAGACAGGAAUGCAGCAUCAAUACUGGAAAUGCAUCCACAUAUCCUAAUUCAUAUUUACAUUCUUUACAUUCCUUGUAGAAAUGAAGCAACAAGAAAUGAAAGAGACACAAACAGACUCUGUUCAAACGAAGCAUCAACCAUGUUUGAUAAAUAUUCCAUUCAAAAUAAAGUUUAGCUAGCACGCAAUAUUAGCGCACAGUAUUGCGCACGUAAACGUUACGUGUCACAUACCACAUGACUUCCACCAUUUUCCCCAUUGCCACUGUGAGUCGCAAGAUGGAGGAUGCCGAUAGUACAGCUGCACAAACACCAUCUGAACCGCUUAAAAGGAACCCUUUGGCAAGGCAAACAAUGGAAAGGAGGGGCAACAACGAUAUUGAAGACAGCAGUGGCAGUAAUAAAUAGCUGAAAAAAAAGGAGGACCAAGGUAUGCUGGGCAUGAUAGAGAUGAACGUCCAAGAGGUCACUGGGUUGGAAAGUCAGCAAGUCAACUCCGCAGAAAACCACACCAAUCUCCUGAAAUGGAAAAGAGAAGGUUUAUUGUUGAUGAUAAUGCAAGAUAGUGUCCUGAAAAUUUUAGUGAUUAUGCUGUAUUUUCUUAUGAUGCCAAUGAUUCUGGUAAUGAUAAUAAUUAUAACCCCUCAGAAUGCCCACAACAAGCACUUGUUAAAUGUAAGGUCAAAUCCACAAAUACUACUGUUACCCCAAAAAUACUUGAACCAGAAAAAAAAUUGUUUCCAUAACUCUCUUAUCAAUUAUCAAAAAUCUCUCAUGAAAAAAAUGCAUGUUGUUCAUCUUGAUCUGUGUAUCACCACAACAUGUUACAACAACAGUCAGGGACGACUAGCCUCACACGAGGCAGCUAUGUUAAAGAUGCAUGAGCAACACUUAAAGGUCAAGGAACAACAUAUUUCUUUGCUGGAAAAACAAAAUGCCAUUUUAGAUAACAUGAGUAAUUGUCAACAAGUUGCUAAGUGUUAUAGAUUGCAGUCGUAUAGUGCCAACACGCUGUAGUAGGAUAGAUAGUGCAGAUAGUUCAGCAAGCUCUCCAACUUCACAACAAAAAAAAAAUAAUUUGUCAUGUUUUGUUGAUAUGCUGAGGGGCAGAUUUGUUUAAAGUGUUUAAUUAGAGUUCCUCACUGUAAAUAUGCAAGAAAAGAGUUAUUUUAAUGUUAGCAAACAUUACUCCUGUGUGAUCAUAGUGGUAUGUAAAUAAACAUUUCUCUUUUAAAUAUUUGUGGGGGGGACUCACCCGCUCCAAGGGACAAUGAGCCUUAGUGGAGAAAAUCCAGUUAUGUUUUCAUAUACAACUAUUUUCAAGUUAGCUGUUGCAGCUUAAUUACUUCAUUAUUAGCACCAAUAAGGAGUUAGUGAAUAAUAGUUACUGUGAAUGCAGAAAUAUUGCAUAUUGCCACUCACUACUGCUGUGCUCAAUAAAAUAAAUGAGCAUUUUUUUUUUUAAAGCAACUAUUUUCACUGGAAAUAAGGAGUAUUGUUUCAGAUGUUGUUUUGUGUUUCUUUUUUAUUUAUUAAAGACUGUAGGUACUUACACGCAAAGUAAUAGUUUACGAUUUCUCCCCGUACUCAAUUGCCUCUGUCAUCUGCACUUUGUACACAAUGUAUGAUUCUCUUCUUCACAAUCCAACAAAAAUCCGACUGCAAACUCUAUGUUGUUAUCACAAACGCUUAUGAACCGCAAUGUUUUUGGAGUAACGCCCACUCCUACUAGGGGUUAAUAUUAGCACAAAUUAUUGUGAUAUUUUAUGCUUUUAACGCUUCAAAUAUAUCUGUGAA